UGGGGCGUAGCCAAGCUGGCAAGGCAGCGGCCUUUGGAGCCGCCAUUCGGAGGUUCGAAUCCUCCCGCCCCAG
RNAcentral lists this transfer RNA (73 nucleotides) under bacterium. Its description in RNAcentral is "tRNA-Gln". It matches the Rfam family "tRNA". From Rfam's summary of the family: Transfer RNA (tRNA) molecules are approximately 80 nucleotides in length. RNAcentral also lists the same sequence under 1 other name. The record is from RNAcentral.